AGGGCGCAUGGCGGAUGCCUAGGCUCUGGAAGGCGAUGAAGGACGCGGCAAGCUGCGAAAAGCCGCGGGGAGGCGCAUGCGGCCUUUGAUCCGCGGAUGUCCGAAUGGGGCAACCCUCCCGGCAGGAGGCCGGGAAUCCUUAUGUAGGAUAAGGAGGCGAACGCGGGGAACUGAAACAUCUUAGUACCCGCAGGAAGAGAAAACAACAGUGAUACCCCCAGUAGUGGCGAGCGAACGGGGCGGAGCCCAAACCCGCGGGGUCGAGGCCCUGCGGGGGUUGUAGGACCCGCGCUGAGUCACAUGUCUGACGCGAGGAGAACAGUCUGGAAAGUCUGUCCGCAGAGGGUGACAGUCCCGUAUCCGAAGUGUCAGUUGUGUGCGAGCGGUGUUCCUGAGUAGCGCGGGGCACGUGGAACCCUGUGUGAAUCCGGCGGGACCAUCCGCCAAGGCUAAACACUCUCCAGAGACCGAUAGUGGACCAGUACCGUGAGGGAAAGGUGAAAAGCACCUCUCGCAGAGGAGUGAAAGAGUACCUGAAACCAUGCGCCUACAAGCUGUCGGAGCUGUCCGUUGUGGCAGUGACGGCGUGCCUUUUGCAUAAUGAGCCUACGAGUUGCCGUCACCGGCGAGGUUAAGCGGUAUGAGCCGCGCAGCCGAAGUGAAAGCGAGCAUGAAGAGUGCGUUGAGUCUGUGGCGGCAGACGCGAAACCGGGUGAUCUACCCGUGCCCAGGCUGAAGUCCCGGUAACGCGGGAUGGAGGGCCGAACCGAUAAGCGUUGAAAAGCUUCCGGAUGAGGUGCGGGUAGGAGUGAAAGGCCAAUCAAACCCGGAGAUAGCUCGUACUCCCCGAAAAGCAUUUAGGUGCUGCCUGUGGUGUUCCGCUCAGGAGGUAGAGCGACUGUCUGGAUGCGAGGGCUUCGCCGCCUAUCAAGUCCUGCCAAACUCCGAAUGCCUGAGCGCCAAGCCAUGGAGAAAGGGGGCGGGUGCUAACGUCCGUUCCCGAGAGGAGAAGAAUCCAGACCACCGUCUAAGGCCCCGAAGUCGCAGCUGAGUUAGGCUAACGAAGUCUCUUUCCUAUGACAGCUAGCAUGUUGGCUUGGAAGCAGCCAUUCAUUCAAAGAGUGCGUAACAGCUCACUAGUCGAGGAAUCAGGCAUGGAUAAUAAUCGGGUAUAAGCUGCGCGCCGAAGCCGUGGGAUGACUUUUUUGUCAUCGGUAGGGGAGCAUUCAUGACGGCGCUGAAUGCGUGCUGUGAGGCAUGCUGGAGCGUCAUGAAAAGCAGAUGUAGGCAUAAGUAACGAUAAGGGGGGCGCGAAUCCCCCCCGCCGUAAGACCAAGGUUUCCCGGGCGACGUCAAUCGUCCCGGGGUUAGUCGGUCCCUAAGGCCCAGCCGAACGGCGACGCCGAUGGAAAGCCGGUUGAUAUUCCGGCACCGGCGCUGGGUGCGACGCGGUGACGCGGCAGUGGAACCUCCGCGCCCUGACGGAAGUGGGCGUUGAAGGGUGUAGGCGCAGACGUGCGCAGUGAAGUACACGCGCGGAGCCGAACCUGACAGUACCGCGGGGACUCCGGUCCCGGCGGAGAGCGAGGGUAAUCAUGCCGCCGAGAAAACCCGCUAAGCCUCAGCCCAGCAGCCGUCCGUACCGUAAACGGACACACGUGGUCGGGUAGAGUAUACCAAGGCGCUCGGGUGACUCGCGGUUAAGGAACUAGGCAAACUGACCCCGUAACUUCGGGAGAAGGGGUCCUCACUUGUUUGUGAGGCGCAGAGAAACGGUCCAGGCAACUGUUUACCAAAAACACAGGGCUGUGCAAAGCAUGAAGGCCACGUAUACAGCCUGACACCUGCCCGGUGCCGGAAGGUUAAGAGGAGCGCUCAGCCGCAAGGCGAAGGUGUGAGUUGAAGCCCCGGUAAACGGCGGCCGUAACUAUAACGGUCCUAAGGUAGCGAAAUUCCUUGUCGGGUAAGUUCCGACCUGCACGAAUGGUGUAAUGAUCCGGACACUGUCUCAACCGCGAGCCCGGUGAAAUUGUAGUAUCGGUGAUGAUGCCGAUUACCCGCGAUGGGACGAAAAGACCCCGUGAACCUUUACUGCAGCUUAGUGCUGCGUCCGGGCAUCGGAUGUGUAGGAUAGGCCGGAGGC
Molecule: ribosomal RNA, 2143 nt
Filed under: bioreactor metagenome
Description: bacterial LSU rRNA
Rfam family: Bacterial large subunit ribosomal RNA
Source: RNAcentral